GGGCAGCUCUCAUUCACUUCAUGUCUACUGAAAAAGAGAAAAAAAACCUGAUGGGAACCAGGCUUGCUAAAGUAGCUGCAGUGAUAGAAAUAGACUAACUUCAGACGCUGUACUGCAGCACCUGUUCUAUCCUAGUGCAAGG
Molecule: small nucleolar RNA, 142 nt
Filed under: Sorex araneus (European shrew)
Lineage: Eukaryota; Metazoa; Chordata; Mammalia; Eulipotyphla; Soricidae
Source: RNAcentral